RNAcentral lists this unclassified non-coding RNA (559 nucleotides) under Hevea brasiliensis (rubber tree). Lineage: Eukaryota; Viridiplantae; Streptophyta; Magnoliopsida; Malpighiales; Euphorbiaceae. The record is from RNAcentral.
GCCGCCAUUAUCACCGCCGAAGUUGCGAGGGCCGUCGUUAAUAAUUGGGGUGAGUCGGAGGAGGAGAGUGGCGACGGAAGCGCCAGCGCCAGCAAGGGGUAGAGGUUAGAGGCUUUGACAAGGAUUUAAGGAUGGAAUUGUGUGAAUUGGAAUUACGGGGUGUAGGGUUUUGAAAGGAUGAAGGUAAGGAAGAAGAGGAGGAAAGAUCGCAUUUGAAGGAGAAAGCACGUGAGGGGGCGGUAGCACUAGCACAUGACUUGCGGCGGGGGGAUAAGGACGAAGAGGAGGAGAGUGGAGCGUUGGCUAUGAGGUUGGUGGGUGCUGCCAAAGAGUACAUGGCUCUAUGGAGGGAUAAGGAGGAGGAAGGAUAAAUGUAGACAAUGAGAAAUGGGGUUUAGCAGUCGACUGGUAAGGAGAAGAGUAGUUGGGUUUGGGGCAACUGAGAUUUAUGGACGCACCCAGGUUGAGCCUCGGUUGAACCCUUGGGUUGGGUUUGUCUGCUCCCGCGUAUGAGCCUUGGACAGAGGCGAGAUUAUCAAUGUUGUAAUUAGGUCUAGAA